RNAcentral lists this long non-coding RNA (1550 nucleotides) under Phaseolus vulgaris (common bean). RNAcentral describes it as "long non-coding RNA (PVUL_LNC005299)". The record is from RNAcentral. Lineage: Eukaryota; Viridiplantae; Streptophyta; Magnoliopsida; Fabales; Fabaceae.
UCGAGGUUAGCCGGCUUCGUGUGGAGAAAGAGGCUCUGGAGAAACAGGUGACCUCCGGAGACGCCGCCAUUGAGGAGCUGGAGAAGGAGAAAAAUUCCCUUAUCCAGGAGAUGGCGGGCACCUACGAGGAGGGGUUUCAAGAAGCCCUGUCCCAGGCGUCCUGCGAGAAUCCCGGCGUCAACCUUUCAAACUGUGACCCCACACACCACGUAGUCGACGGGAAGGUCGUGCCCAUGGAUCUGAACGAUUGAACUGCUGCCCCUCAUCCGCCACCUUCCUCUUCAAGCUUAACUCUUCAUUCUUUACCUUCGCUUUUUAAUUUCAUCUGCCAACAACUUGUAAUUCUUUGAACUAUCCACACUCUUGUUAUUGAUUCGGGACACUCGCAUGGUUGUCCUUAUUUCUUUUUCACAUACGACUCCGCCUAUACGAUCUCGUUCUCAUCUUUUCCCUUUAUACGCUUUACUUAUUUUAUCUGUAUCCCGCCCGUUUCUCACACUUCGUUGGGCGGUUUGGUAUGAUGAGGUAAGGUCGCUCGCCAACCCUUACGCCCAUGGAGAGGCUCACUAAGUGUCGCCGUAUCGUCCACGGGACGACUCAGACACCGAAAGGCUCUUUCUUUGAUCUUUCAGCACUCGGCGCCCACGCCUAAGGAGAGGCCUGCCAAAGCAGCACCGUAUCGUCCCCGGGUGUCUAAAACGCUGAGUGCUGUGGGGUUUUUGUUCCCUUCAUGGUCUUUCCUGCCCAUAGGUAUCGGGGAACAUCCUGCCAGUGACUCGCUGGUGUUUGACGGUCUCGUCUCCCUCCACAGUCUUUCCUACCUGUGGGUAUCGGGGAGGCGACGCCUUCACCUAACUUUGCCUUUCUCUGAUUUCUUCUCCCUCCUCAGUCUUUCCUACCUGUGGAUAUCGGGGAGGUAACGCCAGUCGGUAUUUGGGUUGGCGACGCCCGCGACUUCUCGUCUGUCGUCGCCCUUUACGUCUUUCUUGGCAAUGCCUCGGGCAUUACCUUUACUUCGACAUUGACUUUAAUUCUUGCCUUGGCCAACGCCUGAUAACAGCGAAAAGCCUAAGGCUUUGCCUGUGCCCUCCGCGUGGCGCUUCUUGUACAGCUGAUGGGACCUUUUGUCAUUCGACUUGAUCCACGUGGCGCUGCUUAACUGGUCAGUGGGGUAUCUAGUCAUUUCAUUUUCUGACUCCUGCUGCACCCCUGGCUCAUUCUCGACGGCGCAUCGUACCACUGGACAUUCUGUUGACGGGACAUUUUCUGCUUUAAAAACAGUGGUGCCAGCGUCAUCCUUUCAUCUUCUGCCACGUGUAUCAAUCGUGCGGUGCAUCCAUUCACGUCGUUUGGCGCUCUAACCGCUUUAUUUAACUCUUCGAGCUCUGGAACUAUCUUCAUCGUUUUCUCGCUCUUCAUAACCUACUUGCGCUCUUUCUUCUUGCACCCUUUCUUCUUGCAGCCUUUCUUCUCUGUCGAAGGGCUGUCUUAACCUUCGCUCCCCUCACUCAACCCUUGCAUUUCCAGCCAUCUUGAUCCUGUUAAAGAAU